AGCGAACGCUGGCGGCAGGCUUAACACAUGCAAGUCGAGCGGGCAUCUUCGGAUGUCAGCGGCAGACGGGUGCGUAACACGUGGGAACGUACCCUUCGGUUCGGAACAACUCUGGGAAACUGGAGCUAAUACCGGAUACGCCCUUAUGGGGAAAGGUUUACUGCCGAAGGAUCGGCCCGCGUCUGAUUAGCUAGUUGGUGGGGUAACGGCCUACCAAGGCGACGAUCAGUAGCUGGUCUGAGAGGAUGAUCAGCCACACUGGGACUGAGACACGGCCCAGACUCCUACGGGAAGCAGCAGUGGGGAAUAGUGGAAAGUGGGGGCAAGCCUGAGCCAGCCAUGCCGCGUGAGUGAUGAAGGCCGUAGGGUUGUAAAGCUCUUUUGUCCGGGACGAUAAUGACGGUACCGGAAGAAUAAGCCCCGGCUAACUUCGUG
This 435-nucleotide ribosomal RNA is filed under the name uncultured bacterium. Its description in RNAcentral is "partial 16S ribosomal RNA". It matches the Rfam family "Bacterial small subunit ribosomal RNA", at positions 29 to 507 of the family's 1533-position model. The record is from RNAcentral.